CGGCCGGCCGACCGGCGCGACGGUGAGUAACACGUAUGCAACCUGCCCUCUUCAGGGGGACAACCUUCCGAAAGGGAGGCUAAUCCCGCGUAUAUCGGUUUCGGGCAUCCGAGAUCGAGGAAAGAUUCAUCGGAAGAGGAUGGGCAUGCGGCGCAUUAGCUAGACGGCGGGGUAACGGCCCACCGUGGCGACGAUGCGUAGGGGUUCUGAGAGGAAGGUCCCCCACACUGGUACUGAGACACGGACCAGACUCCUACGGAAGGCAGCAG
RNAcentral lists this ribosomal RNA (269 nucleotides) under uncultured bacterium. Its description in RNAcentral is "partial 16S ribosomal RNA". It matches the Rfam family "Bacterial small subunit ribosomal RNA", at positions 84 to 354 of the family's 1533-position model. The record is from RNAcentral.